CGAAGGAUGCAAGCGUUAUCCGGAUUCAUUGGGUUUAAAGGGUGCGUAGGCGGACUGAUAAGUCAGUGGUGAAAUCUCUCAGCUUAACUGAGAAACUGCCAUUGAUUCUGUUAGUCUAGAGUAUAGAUGACGUUGGCGGAAUAUGACAUGUAGUGGUGAAAUACUUAGAUAUGUCAUAGAACACCGAUUGCGAAGGCAGCUAACGAAACUAUAACUGACGCUGAGGCACGAAAGUGCGGGGAUCAAACAGGAUUAGAUACCCUGGUAGUCCGCACCAUAAACGAUGAUUACUCGUUGUUGGCGAUAUGACAGUCAGCGACCAAGCGAAAGCGAUAAGUAAUCCACCUGGGGAGUACGCCGGCAACGGUG
Molecule: ribosomal RNA, 369 nt
Filed under: uncultured organism
Description: bacterial SSU rRNA
Rfam family: Bacterial small subunit ribosomal RNA
Source: RNAcentral